CAAAAAAAGAAACAACCAAAAUAUUGAUGGUUAUGUCAUGUGGCUAAAUGGUAUAACGGGCCAAGUGGGUCAACUAGCCCACAUCAUAAGACCCAUAUACAAUUUCUAAAAAGCUACUACCAUAUCUACAAUUCCUAAACAGCUACUGCCAUAUCAUGCAGGUAAAAUCCCAGGUUGUAGCAGGUAAAAUCCAAGGUUACAGGCAGGUAAAAGGUGUAGGUAAAAGUUGAGCAUUCAAGGAAUUCUAAGCUAACAACUAUUAUAUCAAAAAGCCAAAUUUAAGAAUACAAAUAGAAUUAAAUAGAAUUGGAAAAGGUACAAAUCAAAUGUAUUUUCUGUUUGUCAUAGCCGUUAAAUUCUCUUUCAAGAAAACCAGAUCUUUUAUUCUUCCCUAACAAUUGUUCCUAGGAAAAAAAGCAUGGUGAAAUUGCUAAACAACAUAAAUUCAUUGAAAGUAGUAGUAAUAUUGCUAAUUGGCACUUACUACAGCACCAAGUGAAAGCAUAAUCCGGUCAUCCCAAGAUUUGUUCCAUAUGAGCCUGAGAGCUUCCAAAACGUCAUCGUGCAUGUGACCACCUGGUUUGAAGGUCUCAACAAAUAAAUCCUCCAUCAUCCCCACGCCAUGUAUUUGCAUUACACAAUUGUUUCUCAUCAGCGCUUUUAUUUUUUUGUCUUUCAUUUGGGCCCUGUUUUUUAUCUCAUUAUAUAUCUUAGACAAGAUUGAAUGUUCCGCAACAAUCUUCUUUAAA
This is a long non-coding RNA of Panicum virgatum (switchgrass), 749 nucleotides long. RefSeq lists it as uncharacterized. The record is from RefSeq and is a predicted model, not a curated record. NCBI's taxonomy places the organism in Eukaryota, Viridiplantae, Streptophyta, Magnoliopsida, Poales, Poaceae. The transcript is spliced from 2 exons.